AGUGAACGCUGGCGGUAGGCCUAACACAUGCAAGUCGAACGGCAGCACAGUAAGAGCUUGCUCUUACGGGUGGCGAGAGGAGAACGGGUGAGAAAAACAUCGGAAUCUAAUUUAACAUGGGGGAUAACGUAGGGAAACUAACGAUAAUACCGCAAGAGAGCAACGGGUGAAAGCAGGGGAUCUUCGGACCUUGCGCGAUGGAAUGAGCCGAGGUCGGAUUAGCUAGUUGGCGGGGUAAAGGCCCCCCAAUGCGACGAUCCGUAGCUGGGCGGAGAGGAUGAUCAGUGACACUGGAAGUGAGUCACUGUCUAUAUUCCUACGGUAGUUAGCAGUGGGGCAUAUUGGACAAUGGGCGCAAGCCUGAUCCAGCCAUACCGCGUGGGUGAAGAAGGUCUUCUGGUUGUAAAGCCCUUUUGUUGGGAAAGAAAAUCAGCAGGUUAAUACCCCGCUGUUCUGACGGUACCCAAAGAAUAAGCACCGGCUAACUUCGUG
RNAcentral lists this ribosomal RNA (492 nucleotides) under uncultured bacterium. Its description in RNAcentral is "partial 16S ribosomal RNA". It matches the Rfam family "Bacterial small subunit ribosomal RNA", at positions 29 to 507 of the family's 1533-position model. The record is from RNAcentral.